GCUUACGGCCACACCGCCUGGUUCACGUCCCGAUCUCGUUUGAUCUCGGAAGCUAAAAUAGGUUGGGCCUGGUUAGUACUUGCAUGGGGAGACUGCCUGGGAAUACCAGGUGCUGUAAGCU
Ribosomal RNA from Scophthalmus maximus (turbot), 121 nucleotides. Lineage: Eukaryota; Metazoa; Chordata; Actinopteri; Pleuronectiformes; Scophthalmidae. The record is from Ensembl.